RNAcentral lists this transfer RNA (88 nucleotides) under Paracoccaceae bacterium. RNAcentral describes it as "Rhodobacteraceae bacterium tRNA-Ser". Lineage: Bacteria; Pseudomonadati; Pseudomonadota; Alphaproteobacteria; Rhodobacterales; Paracoccaceae. The record is from RNAcentral.
GGCAUCGUAGCCCAGCGGGAAGAGCGCGCGAUUGGCCUGGAAAGCGGCGGUUUCGGGCAGGGAGAGGUGCGCACUGUCCUUGAUGCCG